GUCAUUAUGGCCGAACGGUAAGGUACCUCAGCUCAUUAAAUCAACAAAAUUGUGGUUGAGGAGGUCUCGGUUCGAAUCCGAGUUGUGAUA
Non-coding RNA from Mycena leptocephala, 90 nucleotides. The record is from the annotation of a GenBank genome assembly. Lineage: Eukaryota; Fungi; Basidiomycota; Agaricomycetes; Agaricales; Mycenaceae.